CCUACGGGGGGCAGCAGUGAGGAAUAUUGGUCAAUGGCCGUAAGGCUGAACCAGCCAAGUCGCGUGAAGGAAGAAGGAUCUAUGGUUUGUAAACUUCUUUUAUAGGGGAAUAAAGGUAUCCACGUGUGGAUAUUUGCAUGUACCCUAUGAAUAAGCAUCGGCUAACUCCGUGCCAGCAGCCGCGGUAAUACGGAGGAUGCGAGCGUUAUCCGGAUUUAUUGGGUUUAAAGGGUGCGUAGGUUGGUUUUUAAGUCAGCGGUGAAAGUUUGUGGCUCAACCAUAAAAUUGCCGUUGAAACUGGAAGACGUGAGUGUGUUUGAGGUAGGCGGAAUGCGUGGUGUAGCGGUGAAAUGCAUAGAUAUCACACAGAACACCGAUUGCGAAGGCAUCUGACGAAUCGGAGAUUGACGCUGAUGCACGAAAGCGUGGGUAUCGAACAGGAUUAGAUACCCUUGUAGUC
RNAcentral lists this ribosomal RNA (460 nucleotides) under uncultured bacterium. Its description in RNAcentral is "partial 16S ribosomal RNA". It matches the Rfam family "Bacterial small subunit ribosomal RNA", at positions 338 to 795 of the family's 1533-position model. The record is from RNAcentral.